Oryza nivara is the source of this 202-nucleotide non-coding RNA. The record is from Rfam. Lineage: Eukaryota; Viridiplantae; Streptophyta; Magnoliopsida; Poales; Poaceae.
UUUAAAUGCAGUUGUGGGUUUAUUGUAUCCAACGUCUGACCGUCCAUCUUAUUUAAAUUUUUUUAUGAUUAAUAUUUUUGUUGUUAUUAGGUGAUAAAACAUAAAUAGUACUUUAUGCGUGACUUAUUUUUCAACUUUUUUCAUAUGUUUUAAAUAAGAUAAACAGUAAACGUUAGACAUGGGUACCACAACUAUUAUUAAA